Molecule: long non-coding RNA, 585 nt
Organism: Tympanuchus pallidicinctus (lesser prairie-chicken)
Lineage: Eukaryota; Metazoa; Chordata; Aves; Galliformes; Phasianidae
Exons: 4
Source: RefSeq, a predicted model, not a curated record
CCUUGGGGUCAAUGGGAUCUGUGGGAUCUGUAGGGUCCAUUGGGUCUGUAGGGUCCUUAGGGUCAAUGGGAUCUGAGGUCCAUGGAGUCCAUGGAGUCUUUGGGGUCCAUGGGGUCAAUGGGAUCUGUUGGAUCUGUAGGGUCCGUUGGGUCUGUUAGGGUCCAUGGGGUCAGUGGGAUCUGCGGGGUCCAUGAGGUCCAUGGAGUCUUUGGGGUCCAUGGAGGCUGUGGGGUCCUUGGGGUCCAUGGAGUCUUUGGGGUCCAUGGAGGCUGUGGGGUCCUUGGGGUCUGUAGGGUCCUUGGAGCCAAUGGGAUCUGUGGGGUCCAUGAGGUCCAUGGAGGCUGUGGAGUCUGUGGGGUCCUUGGGGUCAAUGGGAUCUGUGGGAUAUGUAGGGUCCGUUGGGUCUGUAGGGUCUGUGGGGUUUCUAGGGUCCUUGGGGUCAGCGGGAUCUGUGGGGUCCAUGAGGUCCAUGGAGUCUGUAGGGUCUGUGGGGUCAAUGGGAUCUGUGGGAUCUGUAGGGUCCUUGGGGUCUGUAGGAUCCUUGGGGUCAAUGGGAUCUGAGGUCCAUGGAAUCCAUAGAGUCUU